GGCACACCACUUCAGUGGCACAGAAUAAUCUUCACGAAAUCUGGUCUCUUCUAAACUUUCUUUUGCCCGAAAGUUUUAGUUUUUCCGAAACUUUUGAUGAAUGGUUUCAAAUCUCUGGUGAAAAUGACCAACAGGAGGUUGUUCAACAAUUACACAAGGUCCUCCGUCCAUUUCUUCUUCGAAGAUUGAAGUCAGAUGUUGAGAAAGGGUUGCCACCGAAAAAGGAAACUAUUCUUAAAGUAGGCAUGUCCUAGAUGCAAAAACAAUAUAUAGAGCACUACUUCAGAAGGAUCUAGAGGUUGUAAAUGUUGGUGGUGAAAGGAAGCGCCUCUUGAACAUAGCUAUGCAACUGCUCAGAUGUUGUAAUCAUCCAUAUCUUUUCCAAGGUGCUGAACUUGGUCCUCCCUACACAACAGGAGAUCAUCUUAUUACAAAUGCUGGUAAAAUGGUUCUUUGGAAUAAGUUACUUCCUAAAUUGAAAGAGAGUGAUUCUAGGGUCCUUAUAUUUUCACAGAUCAAGGAGAAUCAAGAGAAGGAGACCAACCAGAUCUUACUCGCACUUCAUCUUCUACUCAUCCAGGUAAG
Non-coding RNA from Cajanus cajan (pigeon pea), 585 nucleotides. The record is from RefSeq and is a predicted model, not a curated record. Lineage: Eukaryota; Viridiplantae; Streptophyta; Magnoliopsida; Fabales; Fabaceae.